UCGCCCCGCCGGGUCUGCUCCCGGGCGCCGGCGCUGCUGCCUCGCUCCCCUCCGUCAUUUUGGGUAGACUUGGGGUUUGCAGAUCUUUGCUUGUGGUCGCUGUAAACCACGUUGUCUGCCCGAGUAGCAUCGGUAAAAAUAAACCACCCUAUGCAGAAAACCGCUGUGUCGGUUUUUGUUCUCGGAUUUAAGAGAAGACGGCGGGGAGCUCCGAGCCCGACCUAGGUCUGGCCGAGUAGGAACGAAGGCUGAAGGCGACUCUCGGAGUGGAGGAAGCGGCUCUGGGCUCGGCGCCGCCCGGGCUCUGAAGCUGGCAAGUGGAUUUACUCUGGGGAGAAGCGACCGUGUUUUGCGACCUUGCAAGACCUAUCUGUGCAGUAAUAUGAAGAGAGCAAGCACUGAAGUGGACCAAACAAAACUUCUAGUAAAUCAGAAAUGUGGUCACAGCCAGCCAGCGUACAAAGGCUGAGAGAGCUGCAGUGUUCAGGACAGAAACAAAUGCAGCAAAAUAAGCGGGGAAGCUUAUUCCCCUUAGAGCUACGCUUAUGGCAUUAUUAAGACCGCAGAGCGAUGUGCCCAAAGGUCUAGAACCCCGCUCGGAAGACAGCGUGCACAGCGCAGGCCAGCCCUCUGUACACGCGCCUCCCUUCAGCUCUGGCUUCCUGCUUCUCUCGCUGGGCCUCCUCUCUCUGUUAGCAAACAUGGUGGGCUUGCUUUGAAGCUGACUGCAUAAGACAGAAGAGGACCAUCCUAUUUCCUUUCAGCGCUUCUUUCACGUUACCAAAUUGUGAAGCCAGUGCUGCAAGCUGACAGCAUAACUGGUUAUGCAGAAGAAGCAGAAGCAGCGUUCAGGAGGUGGCACUGGACUGAUCAAGGGCAGCAUGGCAGAAAUGAAACUUUCAGCCCCUGCUCUUGCCAGGCAUUUCCACAGAAAUGUGCUUUUCAGGUUCAUGGCUGUACUAAUAUACACCAUUACACGCAUUUUGGAAAUCCAGCUCUUACACUGCUGAUCACACAUUUAUUUUCAAUCCCAAGGCCCCGGGGCACUCAAAAUGACAGCUUAAUUGAUUGUCAUACAUUUAAUCUUGGAUCACUGCUAAGGGCAUUUUCCCCAUGCUAGCCAGUGAUGAAUGACUACCUGGUCAUGAUGUCAGCAGUGCCCAGGAGAGAACUCCCCUUCAAGUAGCAUCUUGACUUACUUUUUUCACGAAGAGCUUUUAACAGUUGGUAGCUAUUGUGCAGUGGAAGAGAACAGCAAUUUUCUUCCUAUUUAGAGAAUUGUUGUGGUGUGAUGAUUUUGUAAUUUUAAGAUCUUGAGAUCAAGUCCACUGAAAUCCCCAUUCAUUACCAAUGAAUGGGCUUUUGAUCUAGCUUUAAUUCUUUCAGUUGAUGCAAGCUUCCUGAUUUAUUUAAUUAAUUCUAUUUUGCAUCCCUACUGCUUUUUAUCCUUUGGAUUUUGGUGCUUCUUUGUAGGCUAACAUUAGGUUAUAUGUUGAGACCAGAUCUUUCUCUGUCUCGCUAUUUUUACUGAGCUUUCACUCAGUCCUAAGGAAGCAUGUCCUGCUGGCUUGUUAUAUUUGGAUUGUUCCUGUGGUUUAGAUUUACUGGAUUUUAUUUUAAUGUGCCUCAGGUUGCUCAGUUGUUUGGUAAUGUGCAUUGCAGUCAUCUUCUGUUCUGAGUAAAGAAAAAAGACUAAUGUUUUUCAACAAUUUUAUAAUCUUGUUUCACGGUUCUCAGCAUUUCUGGAUAUUAGUUUUAAUGAAGCUUCUCUCAACCCUGCAACUGUGCAAUCCCUGUUCUGUCCCUUACUCUGAAGGAUCCCAAAAUAAAGACAAUUCUUAUCCAUUCUAAGCA
This 1854-nucleotide long non-coding RNA is filed under the name Struthio camelus australis. RNAcentral's name for it is "lncRNA (ENSSCUG00000012032.1)". Lineage: Eukaryota; Metazoa; Chordata; Aves; Struthioniformes; Struthionidae. The record is from RNAcentral.